UAAUACGAAGGGGGCUAGCGUUGCUCGGAAUUACUGGGCGUAAAGGGCGCGUAGGCGGCCCUGCAAGUCAGGCGUGAAAUUCCCGGGCUCAACCUGGGGGCUGCGCUUGAGACUGUGGGGCUAGAGGCCGAGAGAGGGUGGUGGAAUUCCCAGUGUAGAGGUGAAAUUCGUAGAUAUUGGGAAGAACACCGGUGGCGAAGGCGGCCACCUGGCUCGGUUCUGACGCUGAGGCGCGACAGCGUGGGGAGCAAACAGGAUUAGAUACCCUGGUAGUCCACGCCGUAAACGAUGUGCGCUGAAUGUUGGGGUUCCUAGAACCUCAGUGUUGUAGCUAACGCGGUAAGCGCACCGCCUGGGGAGUACGGCCGCAAGGUUG
RNAcentral lists this ribosomal RNA (376 nucleotides) under uncultured bacterium. Its description in RNAcentral is "bacterial SSU rRNA". It matches the Rfam family "Bacterial small subunit ribosomal RNA", at positions 521 to 896 of the family's 1533-position model. The record is from RNAcentral.